CCGACUUUAGCUCAGUUGGAAGAGCAUCAGACUGUAAUUGGCUAGAACUGUCAUCUGGGUGUCGCCUGUUCGAACCAGGCAAGUCGGA
Non-coding RNA from Mycena galopus ATCC 62051, 88 nucleotides. Lineage: Eukaryota; Fungi; Basidiomycota; Agaricomycetes; Agaricales; Mycenaceae. The record is from the annotation of a GenBank genome assembly.